UGGGGAAUAUUGCACAAUGGGCGCAAGCCUGAUGCAGCCAUGCCGCGUGUGUGAAGAAGGCCUUCGGGUUGUAAAGCACUUUCAGCGGGGAGGAAGGCGGUGAGGUUAAUAACCUCAUCGAUUGACGUUACCCGCAGAAGAAGCACCGGCUAACUCCGUGCCAGCAGCCGCGGUAAUACGGAGGGUGCAAGCGUUAAUCGGAAUUACUGGGCGUAAAGCGCACGCAGGCGGUUUGUUAAGUCAGAUGUGAAAUCCCCGGGCUCAACCUUGGAACUGCCUAUGAUACUGGCAAGCUUUAGUCUCGGAGAGGGGGGUAGAAUUCCAAGUGUAGCGGUGAAAUGCGUAGAGAUCUGGAGGAAUACCGGUGGCGAAGGCGGCCCCCUGGACGAAGACUGACGCUCAGGUGCGAAAGCGUGGGGAGCAAACAGG
Molecule: ribosomal RNA, 429 nt
Filed under: Chloroflexota bacterium
Lineage: Bacteria; Bacillati; Chloroflexota
Description: Chloroflexi bacterium partial 16S ribosomal RNA
Rfam family: Bacterial small subunit ribosomal RNA
Source: RNAcentral